This 601-nucleotide long non-coding RNA is filed under the name Rattus norvegicus (Norway rat). RNAcentral's name for it is "long non-coding RNA NONRATT019262". The record is from RNAcentral. Lineage: Eukaryota; Metazoa; Chordata; Mammalia; Rodentia; Muridae.
GCUCGUCGGCCUGAGGUGGGGGCCGAGAGCCCUCGAGAGUCCGCGGAGGCGUGGCUGCUCUUAGACAGCAAGUGCUCUACUGGAGUCCCUGGACGCAAGUAGGCCUCCCUUUCUCCCGUGGCCUCCGGCGGUCUACCGCAAGGGCAGUGACUUUGACCUCCAGACUGUCUUAAACAUAGUAGAUAAGACAGAUCCUGUGUUGCCAAAAUUCUUUGGCCCACAUUUAAGUGGGAUGCAGCUAGCCUGGAGGUGUGGAACCUUUUAGGUACCUGUGUAUGAAUUCCAUUCACUGAGAAGUCCAGGGGUUAGUUUCCCCUGAAAGAUAUCCACACAGCAAACAUGUUUGCAAAACUAAAGAAGAAAAUUGCAGAGGAGACUGCUGUUGCUCAGAGGCCAGGCUGCACUCCUAGGAUCCCUCGGUCUGUGAGCAAGGAGUCUGUGGCUUCCAUGGGGGCUGACUCAGGAGAUGAUUUUGCUUCCGAUGGAAGCAGCUCCAGAGAAGAUCUGUCAUCCCAGCUUUUGAGAAGAAAUGAACAGAUACGGAAGUUAGAGGCCAGACUCUCUGACUAUGCUGAACAGGUCCGAAACUUGCAGAAGAUAA